RNAcentral lists this long non-coding RNA (366 nucleotides) under Spirodela polyrhiza (greater duckweed). RNAcentral's name for it is "long non-coding RNA (SPOL_LNC001382)". Lineage: Eukaryota; Viridiplantae; Streptophyta; Magnoliopsida; Alismatales; Araceae. The record is from RNAcentral.
GGCGCGGCCGGCGUAGCUGCUCCCCUCGUCUCCGGCAAGCCUAGUCGGCGGCGCUGCCGCCGGCGGGGGGAGGCGCUCCGCCUGGCGGUCGGAGGGCGAGGGGGGGAAAUUAGAGCAGACGAUGACCCGGGAAAGGGAGGGGAGGCGGAGGAGGAGAAAGAAGAGGGCGUGGAAGGCGAGGAGGAGGCAGCCGCGGAGGAGGGCGAGGAGGUGGGAGGAGCGGCUCUUCUCGAUGGCGGCGCCGCCGGGGGAGGUGGCGGGCAGGUGGCGAGAGGAGAGGAGGUACAGGUAGAGCCUGGAGAGGGAGGCCAUGGACGGCAGGUACUCCAUGGCGGCGCCGCCGCUGGCGGGGGAAAAAAAUUCCCC